This 328-nucleotide unclassified non-coding RNA is filed under the name Hevea brasiliensis (rubber tree). The record is from RNAcentral. Lineage: Eukaryota; Viridiplantae; Streptophyta; Magnoliopsida; Malpighiales; Euphorbiaceae.
GGAAAAUAGAAUCAGAUCCAGCAGUUCCGGCAUUAUCAUCAGCAUCUUCCUGGAAGAACGCACCCUUGUGGUAAUAUUUCUGCAUAAACUUCCACUUCUGCUUAGGUGGUGGAGCAGUUUUUGGAUUCUUCCUCUCCCAUUCUCUCCUCUCUUCCUCAGUCAUAUUUCUCACCUUCUCAAUCUCCUCCCUCUCCUUCAACAUUGCAUCUCGGAGUUCUCUAUCCCUCUUGAUCCUAGCAAUCUCCCUAACCUUCCAAGCCUCAUAUUCUUCUGCUUCAUUAAUUUCAUCAUCAGUGUCCACAUCUGCAAUAUUUGCCUCCAUUUCCAA